Molecule: ribosomal RNA, 250 nt
Filed under: uncultured bacterium
Lineage: Bacteria
Description: partial 16S ribosomal RNA
Rfam family: Bacterial small subunit ribosomal RNA
Source: RNAcentral
UACAGAGGUGGCAAGCGUUGUUCGGAAUUACUGGGCGUAAAGGGCGCGCAGGCGGCCCGCUAAGUUCCGUGUGAAAUCCCUCGGCUCAACUGAGGAACCGCACGGAAAACUGGCAGGCUUGAGUUCGGGAGAGGGAAGUGGAAUUCCGGGUGUAGCGGUGAAAUGCGUAGAUAUCCGGAGGAACACCGGUGGCGAAGGCGGCUUCCUGGACCGACACUGACGCUGAGGCGCGAAAGCUAGGGGAGCAAAC